AGAAAACAGGAGAAGAAGAAGGAUGAUAAAAGAAUGUGGAAACGGCCAAAUAAGGCACAAUGUUAUCUGGUGUGAACUAAUCAGAGUGGGACAUGACAGCACGGUUAUCUAGGUAAAAUGUAUAUAAGCUGUGUUUAGUAGUGAAUAAACGCCAUUUGCCUCACUUACUCCUGGGGUCUGGGUGAGCAUCUGGCCCCGACCUGGUAAAGGGUCGGUUUCGCCCAGCAGUAAGCCCUACAUGUGGACAGAGGACGAACACCGGACGAGCGAACGGAGACUACAUGCAACAAGUGGUGACCCCGACGUGAUCUGUCUGCUGAGGGUGGCUGCCCGGCGUGCCCGUGACGCGGAGAAGAGCCUGUGAGGUGGCGGCAGGUCGCAUACGUAACAAUGGACCAAGUCAUUAAGGUGGGACUUGCUCACCUCGGUGCUAUGCCAGCGCGCCAUGGCCAGUCAGAAGGCUACGGAACUUAAAACGUGGGGACUGAUAUUAGGAGCCCUUAAAGCGGCCAGAGUUGAGGGAAAGGUAUUGGUGGAGGCUCGAUACCUUUUGGGUCUCAGCGGAGGAGGUGAGACACAGGACCCGGUCGGGUCCGAUGGGGGUUCGGGAGCAGUUUCUUGCAGGGGCCGAGAGGAGACGGAGCCGCCAAUGACCGUUGGCGGGAUGGCGCCGGCUGAGCCGACCGCGCUCAGUUCAAAAGAAGACAAACAACAAGAGAGUGAAAGUUCGUUGUCUCGUCCCCCUCCCCCGUAUCCAAACCCCUCAGGUGGAACGUUGUAUCCUUUAUCAGAAUUACGUCAGUGUUACCUGACUCAAGGGGGCGGAGGAAGCUGUGAUCUACACGGGCAGGAUCAACUUAGUGCCCACAUGGGGAGGGACCAGACAGAAGGUCCGUCCAAUGCGGACAGGGGGCAUAGCCUACUGUCUCUGGUCACUCCCAGGGGCGGUAGUGCGAGUGAUAGUGUAGAAGAGAAAGAAGGGACUGGCUUUGAGUGCAGGGGGAGGGAUCAAAUGACGGACUGGAAUGGGAUUAGAUCGGAGGCUUUGGGAAAGGGUAUAGUUCCAGAGGCAUUCCGGGUGAUUGUGAGUGAUCGUGGUCCCGAAUGGGUGCCGCCUGACCCCGGGGGUGUUACGCGCCUGGUGGAAUUUAUGGAUAAAAGAGGCCUGAAAUCGCCUCUGACAUUAAAUGCACUACAAACUUUGGCUGCACUGGGGCCUCUCUUCCCCCGUGACAUCACAAACUUAAUGCGUACGGUGCUCAGGCUGGUUCAAUAUACGUUAUGGGAGACGGACUGGGUGGCCGAGUUGGGGGGCCGUGCCGGGGCGACAGGGGUCGGCCCGCACCGCUCCCUGCAUGGGACCGGAAUACAGCGGCUUUCAGGGAAGGCCGUGGGAGUGGCUUCGCCCCAGGGCCAGCUAGCGAGACUAAGGCCAGGGGAGCUAAUAGCAGCCACAGAUGCAGUGGUGGAAGCGUUUAAUAAACUUGUGCAUAAGGCCGAACCACCUACUCCGUGCACAGAUAUUACCCAGGGCCCGAAUGAAUCCUUUCAAAGCUUUACAGACAGGCUUUUAGCUGCUGCAGAGGGGUCUGAUCUCCUGGUACCGGCCCAAGGGCCAGUGAUCAUUGACUGCUUGCAGCAGAAAUCGCAUGACAAUGUUAAGGCAUUGCUGCGAGCCGGCCGAAGUACGCUUAAUACCUCGGGAGCCGGCCGAAGUACGCUUAAUAUCCAGGGAGAAGUUAUUCAGUAUGUCUUAGAUAAGCUCAAGGUGGCUCAUUUAACUAAUGAAAGGCUAGUCACAGCUAUUGUCGUAGCUGUUGGCCUGCGACAGCAAAGAUCGCUGCAGCAGCAAGGGCUGUGUUUCCGAUACGGCCAGUAUGGCCAUGUUAGAGCACAAUGCCCCUGUGGGGGAGGCCAGUCAGGGCCUCCUGAUCACAGGAAGGGCUUGCUAAAGGGUAUCCGUGGUCGGGUAUGCAGCAGUUAAAUAUCAUGAAUCUGGGAAAUUCUGUGGGUACCAUCGCGAAAAGUAAUACCAGAUAUAAGUAGCAUAUCUGCAAAAACUGAGUCUAGGUGCGAGUUUUCUACAGAAAUUCUUCGUUGGCAGACCGAAGCCAACUCCAGAACAACUGAGGGACAGACGAUGGGAUCAAGAACCACUCGUCAAGAGGAGCACUACACCUGCAACGCUGACACUUCCGAUGUUGCUGAUAUUUAUGGUGUCCAUGGCGAUUACAGAGUGUCACAAACAACUACAAUGGACACAAGAACAUAUGCAGAAAAUUAAAGAAGAGCGUGAUCCCUUUGGAAGCUGGCUGGACGGACUGUUUGGGGGAACGGGUUCAUGGUUAAAGCAAUUGCUUAAAGCUCUCGCAGUAGGAUUUGCAAUCUUUGUGUGUAUUCUAAUCUGUCUUCCAUGCUUUGUAGGAUGCUUGCCUUCAACGAAUGAUGGACAAGACUUUUGACUAUCACAUUGAGUAUCAUAGAUUGCGUGAAAAAUUAUAGAGGGGUUUAGGUUGUUGCGUUCGUGCUGUAACGGGGCAAGGCUUGGCCGAGCACGGAAAAGAAUUCCCUGUUGCUCUGAUGAUUGCUUAAGAACUGUAGUAGAAAAUAGUAGGAAUAGUGUGCUGAAAUAUAUUUAGGAUUAGGCGUUUUGCGCUGCUUCGCGAUGUACGGGUUAGGUGUGUGUGUAAGUAGUAUUUAGCUUAGGGAGGGGGAGAUGUUGUAGUAGGCGUCUUGCGGGGGCACGGGAUGUACGGGACAGGCCUCUCCCUAAACAUAGAGAGAUAGUGCUAUCGUGCUGACCUUGUUGCAGAGAAAACAGGAGAAGAAGAAGGAUGAUAAAAGAAUGUGGAAACGGCCAAAUAAGGCACAAUGUUAUCUGGUGUGAACUAAUCAGAGUGGGACAUGACAGCACGGUUAUCUAGGUAAAAUGUAUAUAAGCUGUGUUUAGUAGUGAAUAAACGCCAUUUGCCUCACUUACUCCUGGGGUCUGGG
This is a long non-coding RNA of Gallus gallus (chicken), 2994 nucleotides long. The record is from Ensembl. NCBI's taxonomy places the organism in Eukaryota, Metazoa, Chordata, Aves, Galliformes, Phasianidae.